GAGCACAGAGCAGCCCUGCCCUCUGUCCACCUGCCUGGAGCCCUUGACCAUGGCGGCCCUGGCAGCCACAAUAUCCAAGCGCCGUGCUGCGGCCGAGGGUCUUGGCUCCAACCAGAAAGCCGUGAAGUACUUGGGCCAGGACUUCGAGACCCUGAGGCAGCAGUGCUUGGACUCAGGGGUCCUAUUUAAGGACCCAGAGUUCCCAGCAUGCCCAUCAGCCUUGGGCUACAAGGACCUCGGACCACACUCCCCCCAAACUCAAGGCAUCGUCUGGAAGCGGCCCACGGAAUUGUGUCCCAGCCCUCAGUUUAUCAUUGGCGGAGCCACACGCACAGACGUCUGUCAGGGUGCUUUAUUUUGGCAGUACGGCGAGUGGGUGGAGGUGGUCGUGGACGACAGGCUGCCCACCAGGGCCGGGGAGCUGCUCUUCCUGCACUCCGGAGAGGGCCGUGAGUUCUGGAGUGCGCUGCUGGAGAAGGCCUACGCCAAGCUCAACGGCUCUUACGAGGCUCUCGCUGGAGGGUCCACAGUGGAGGGGUUUGAGGAUUUCACAGGUGGCAUCUCUGAGUUUUAUGACCUGAAGAAGCCGCCGGCCAGUUUGUAUCAGAUCGUCCGCAAGGCCCUCCGUGCGGGGUCUCUGCUGGCCUGCUCCAUUGAUGUCUCCAGUGCAGCUGAAGCAGAAGCCAUCACUAGCCAGAAGCUGGUUAAGAGUCACGCCUACUCCAUCACUGGAGCGGAAGAGGUGGAUUUCCGGGGCCAUCGGGAGAAGCUGAUCCGACUCAGGAACCCCUGGGGCCAAGUGGAGUGGACGGGGGCCUGGAGCGACAAGAUGUCUUUUUCGGAUUUCUUGAAGCAGUUCUCUCGACUGGAGAUCUGCAACCUCUCCCCCGACUCCCUGAGCAGCGAGGAGGUGCAGAAGUGGAAUCUGGUUCUGUUCAAUGGGCGCUGGACGCGGGGCUCCACGGCUGGCGGCUGCCAGAACUACCCAGCCACUUACUGGACCAAUCCGCAGUUCAAAAUCCAUCUGGACGAGGUGGAUGACCACCAGGAGGAGGGCAUUGCUGAAGCCUGCUGCACGGUGCUGCUGGGGCUGAUGCAGAAGAACCGUAGGCGACAGAAGAGGAUGGGACAGGGCCUGCUCAGCAUCGGCUAUGCUGUCUACCAGGUCCCCAAAGAGCUGGAGAGUCCCACGGACGCGCACCUGGGCCGGGACUUCUUCCUGGGCCGCCAGCCCUCCGCCCGCUCCAGCACCUACGUCAACCUGCGCGAGGUCUCCGCGCGCCUGCGCCUGCCGCCGGGGGCGUACGUGGUCGUGCCGUCCACCUUCGAGCCCUUCCGGGACGGCGACUUUUGCCUGCGGGUGUUCUCCGAGAAGAAGGCCGAGGCCCUGGAAAUUGGGGAUGUGGUAGCUGGAAACCCACAUGAGCCACACCCCAGCGAGGUGGCUCAAGAAGACGGUCCGCUCCAGAGCCUGUUUGAGAAGCUUGCAGGGAAGGAUUCUGAGCUUGGUGCCAAUGAACUCAAGAUGGCUCUGAAUGAGGUGUUUUCCAAGCGAUCUGACAUAAAAUUCAACGGCUUCGACAUCAACACUUGCAGGGAGAUGAUCAGCCUGAUGGAUAGCAAUGGGACAGGCACCUUGGGGCUGGUGGAAUUCAAGACGCUCUGGUGGAAGAUUGAGAAGUAUCUGGAGAUCUACCGGGAAACCGAUGCUAAGCACUUGGGGACCAUCGAUGCCCAUGAGAUGAGGGCGGCCCUCCAGAAGGCAGGUUUCACCCUCAACAACCAGGUACAGCAGACCAUCGUCACGCGGUAUGCAUGCAGCAAACUGGGCAUCGACUUUGACGGCUUCCUCGCUUGUAUGAUCCGCCUGGAGACCCUCUUCAAAAUCUUCAGCCUUCUGGACAAGGACCAGAACGGCAUCGUCCGGCUCUCUCUGGCUGAGUGGCUGUGCUGUGUGCUGGUCUGACCCAGGGUUUUGGACCUCAUCGGUGACGCUCCGUGCCCACCUGCCUGCCUCUUUUC
RNAcentral lists this long non-coding RNA (2022 nucleotides) under Sus scrofa (pig). RNAcentral describes it as "lncRNA (ENSSSCG00030061701.1)". The record is from RNAcentral. Lineage: Eukaryota; Metazoa; Chordata; Mammalia; Artiodactyla; Suidae.